AGUAAUGUAUGGGGAUCUGCCCGAUAGAGGGGAAUAACUACUGGAAACGGUGGCUAAUACCGCAUAAUGUCUACGGACCAAAGCAGGGGCUCUUCGGACCUUGCACUAUCGGAUGAACCCAUAUGGGAUUAGCUAGUAGGUGGGGUAAAGGCUCACCUAGGCGACGAUCUCUAGCUGGUCUGAGAGGAUGAUCAGCCACACUGGGACUGGGACACGGCCCAG
This 222-nucleotide ribosomal RNA is filed under the name uncultured bacterium. Its description in RNAcentral is "partial 16S ribosomal RNA". It matches the Rfam family "Bacterial small subunit ribosomal RNA", at positions 109 to 334 of the family's 1533-position model. The record is from RNAcentral.